UUUAUGGAGAGUUUGAUCCUGGCUCAGGAUGAACGCUGGCGGCGUGCCUAAUACAUGCAAGUCGAGCGAACAGAUAAGGAGCUUGCUCCUUUGACGUUAGCGGCGGACGGGUGAGUAACACGUGGGUAACCUACCUAUAAGACUGGAAUAACUCCGGGAAACCGGGGCUAAUGCCGGAUAACAUGUUGAACCGCAUGGUUCUACAGUGAAAGACGGUCUUACUGUCACUUAUAGAUGGACCCGCGCCGUAUUAGCUAGUUGGUGGGGUAACGGCCUACCAAGGCGACGAUACGUAGCCGACCUGAGAGGGUGAUCGGCCACACUGGAACUGAGACACGGUCCAGACUCCUA
RNAcentral lists this ribosomal RNA (351 nucleotides) under Staphylococcus pseudintermedius. RNAcentral's name for it is "bacterial SSU rRNA". It matches the Rfam family "Bacterial small subunit ribosomal RNA", at positions 1 to 341 of the family's 1533-position model. The record is from RNAcentral. Lineage: Bacteria; Bacillati; Bacillota; Bacilli; Caryophanales; Staphylococcaceae.